ACUCCUACGGGAGGCAGCAGUAGGGAAUUUUUCGCAAUGGAGGAAACUCUGACGGAGCAAUACCGCGUGUGGGAAGAAGAUUUUCGGAUUGUAAACCACUGUUGUAAGGGAAGAACGUUAUUAGUAGGAAAUGGCUAAUAAGUGACGGUACCUUACCAGAAAGGGACGGCUAACUACGUGCCAGCAGCCGCGGUAAUACGUAGGUCCCGAGCGUUAUCCGGAAUUAUUGGGCGUAAAGGGCACGUAGGCGGACAAAUAAGUUUGAUGUCAAAUAUGAUGGCUCAACCAUCAAGAGGCGUUGAAAACUGUUUAUCUAGAAUCUCGGAGAGGUAAGUGGAAUUCCAUGUGUAGCGGUGGAAUGCGUAGAUAUAUGGAGG
RNAcentral lists this ribosomal RNA (377 nucleotides) under uncultured bacterium. RNAcentral's name for it is "bacterial SSU rRNA". It matches the Rfam family "Bacterial small subunit ribosomal RNA", at positions 335 to 704 of the family's 1533-position model. The record is from RNAcentral.